CCUACGGGAGGCAGCAGUGGGGAAUAUUGCGCAAUGGGCGAAAGCCUGACGCAGCGACGCCGCGUGAGGGAUGAAGGUCUUCGGAUCGUAAACCUCUGUUAACAGGGAAGAACGGUCACUGUGCUAAUCAGCCGUGAAUUGACGGUACCUGCAAAGGAAGCACCGGCUAACUCCGUGCCAGCAGCCGCGGUAAUACGGAGGGUGCGAGCGUUAAUCGGAAUUACUGGGCGUAAAGCGCUCGUAGGCGGUAUGUGAAGUCAAGGGUGAAAUCCCCGCGCUCAAAGUGAGAACUGCCUUUGAAACUGGCAAACUGGAGUGUGUGAGAGGAUAGUGGAAUUCCAGGUGUAGGAGUGAAAUGCGUAGAUAUCUGGAAGAACAUCAGUGGCGAAGGCGACUAUCUGGCACAUAACUGACGCUGAGGAGCGAAAGCGUGGGUAGCAAACAGGAUUAGAUACCCUGGUAGUC
This 465-nucleotide ribosomal RNA is filed under the name uncultured bacterium. Its description in RNAcentral is "partial 16S ribosomal RNA". It matches the Rfam family "Bacterial small subunit ribosomal RNA", at positions 338 to 795 of the family's 1533-position model. The record is from RNAcentral.